GAUGAACGCUGGCGGCGUGCCUAAUACAUGCAAGUCGAGCGAACAGACGAGGAGCUUGAUCCUCUGAAGUUAGCGGCGGACGGGUGAGUAACACGUGGAUAAAAUACCUAUAAGACUGGGAUAACUUCGGGAAACCGGAGCUAAUACCGGAUAAUAUAUUGAACCGCAUGGUUCAAUAGUGAAAGACGGUUUUGCUGUCACUUAUAGAUGGAUCCGCGCCGCAUUAGCUAGUUGGUAAGGUAACGGCUUACCAAGGCGACGAUGCGUAGCCGACCUGAGAGGGUGAUCGGCCACACUGGAACUGAGACACGGUCCAGACUCCUACGGGAGGCAGCAGUAGGGAAUCUUCCGCAAUGGGCGAAAGCCUGACGGAGCAACGCCGCGUGAGUGAUGAAGGUCUUCGGAUCGUAAAACUCUGUUAUUAGGGAAGAACAAAUGUGUAAGUAACUAUGCACGUCUUGACGGUACCUAAUCAGAAAGCCACGGCUAACUACGUG
This 497-nucleotide ribosomal RNA is filed under the name uncultured bacterium. Its description in RNAcentral is "partial 16S ribosomal RNA". It matches the Rfam family "Bacterial small subunit ribosomal RNA", at positions 28 to 507 of the family's 1533-position model. The record is from RNAcentral.